RNAcentral lists this long non-coding RNA (7262 nucleotides) under Brassica rapa (field mustard). Its description in RNAcentral is "long non-coding RNA (BRAP_LNC003126)". The record is from RNAcentral. Lineage: Eukaryota; Viridiplantae; Streptophyta; Magnoliopsida; Brassicales; Brassicaceae.
GUCUGAAUUUUCUGUGAGAACAUGUCAAAAUCUACCAGGUUCUUGUAUCUCCACAGUCUUUUUAAUUUUUCUACUCUAGAUACCUUCUUACUUACUUACGACUCACGAAAGAUACCUUCUUGUGAGAACAUGUCAAAAAGAAAACCUGGUUGGUUGCUAAUGCUCUUUGUUAUAUACUUAAAUUUGCAGUUCAACAUCUAGAUUAUCUUGGAGUGCAGGUGGCUUGUGUUACAGCACCAUGGUUUCUUUCCAUCUUCAUCAAUAUGCUUCCAUGGGAAAGUGGUCAGGUUCCAAACCUUGAUCUUGCCAGAUUUUUUAUUGAUCAGCUCUUUAUUUUUUUUAUAUUUAUAAACUUAAGAUCUUAAGUUACUUCCUUUCGCAAGAAAUUUCGAAAUUAAACUAUUCUCAUGAACCUAGCACAUGCAAGCUACAUAUCACUAUUUGUUAAGCGACUUUCAUCCCAUCAAAUAAUUCAUUUCCACAAACUUGUAUCAUUCGUCAACUACUUUUAUAUCUACACGUUAUUAGUUCCCAACGUAGCAUGCGAAAAAAAAAAACAUAGCAUGCGGUGUUCUUGAAAAGAUAUCUACACGUUAUGGUGGUGUUGUCUCAUUCGAUACAUUCAAAUUAUAACGACAAGUUUCGGAAAUUUUCUUCUAACGAUUUAAGGGAAGAUUAAAUAUGAUCAUUGGACUAGAGGAAACGAACCAACUCCGGUGUAAGGCUAAUAGAGUUGAGGAAGCGAUUCAGGACAUGGAUUUAGUCCUUGUGUUAAUUAAUUAUUAGCUACACGACUGAUUUAUUUAUAAGGUGGUGUUAACUGUUAAUAUUGGCCAGCAGUGUAACUUCAUUAAGAUGCUUAGUGAGAUGGGGGUCUCCUCCUUAAUUAUGUGUUACUUACACCAACUAUAAUGUCAUUCUUGUCUGUCGUCCUAACCUGUAUUUUUUUGUUCAUGGCGUUAAUCAACUUGUAUAGAUCAUUAAGGUACCAUACAAUUAGUAUCUGUUGUGUAAUGAUUAUACUUGACUUUGUUCGUGUAUUGAGUAGGUUUUGGGAACACCACCAACAAAGGGAAGAAAUAUAUCAAAUGCAUUCAAUACUGUCCCAGUCUCCGUUGUGAGUAUUUGCAACUUCUCUCACUUUCCUUCUUCUUGCAACAUCUCACUUAUUUUUAUUUUCUUGAAACUUUUGUGAUCUUGCCACUUAGCUCGAUACAUUGGUCCACCCGUUCUUUGAUGAGCUUAGAGAUCCCCUAAUGCACGUUUCUUUCCUUCCACCACUAUUCAACUUCAAGCCUCAUGGUACUAACUACAUUCUUCCUUGUCUUCCAAAUUGUUGCCCAAGUGACUUAAAACUCAUGGUGUUUUUUUUUUUUCUUUUUCUUUAAUGUGUUGUGUGUGAAAGCAGAGCUUAAAGGUGUGCGCGUGCCCGUGGAGAUAAUGGCUAAGUUAGUACCUGAACAUGCAGAGGAAGCAGGGUCCAUGGCUCGGUUUGUGAUUUUAUCUGCUGUUAACUUGAUUUUCUUUUCUCUUGGGCUUUGAACAUUCUCAUAUUACUAUUAUUACAUUAUGAAUAUUGUAUAUUUCUUUUGUUAUCAUACAAUUAGUACCCAAUUAGCUCCUUUAUACAGUUGGGAUGGUAAAAAGCCUUUAAAAUUUUGAAUCUACCAGGCUCGGUCUAAGAUCUCAGGUAACAGAUUAUCUGCAUCUUGGAAGGGAUCAAACUCUGGUGUAUUGAUAGAUUAGUCACUAGUCAAAUCCAAUCAGGUUUAAACUCAUGAUGCAGUAAUAGUCAAAACUUUAUAAAACCAUACAUACGAGUAUAUAAACCCCUCAACGGGUGAAAAACAACAAAAGAAAAAAAAAAACACACAACCUCUUGGAGAUUUCUACUUUAUAGCAAAAAUACUCAUGUUGGUCGGAAAACUAUGAAACCAGCGAAGAAUCCUACUCAACGAUUCCGGCACCUUCAAUGUCAACUUCACCCAUCCCUGUGUCCUCCUCUUCUUCUUCAUUGCCGCUGAUUUCUUCAUUGUCCAUUCUUAGCUUAGCCAUGUGUUCUGUCAGCAUCGUUCACUCACCUGUCAAAACACAUUAGAUGAAACCAAUAUUUAAGACUCCACAAAUAAAGGAAAGCUAGUUCUUGUAAUAUGCAACUUGGGAUGGUUCAACAACUAAAGAAGAAGAUACUCACAGCCCUAGGUGCCUCCUUAACGACGAGCUUGCCCUUGUGUUGAUCAAUUGUCUCGGUGCAAGCUGCUAUGGCUUCCGUUAGAAUUUCAAUCCCUUGGUCCUGUUUAAUUAUGUUAUUAGUCACUGACAAGAUUAAAUACAAUAUAUAGCUUCAAAAUAAGAGAUUGUCACUUCUUCCGUAACAGCAGGUACAACUUUAGUCACCUACAAAUAGAAAUAUCCCAAGAUCAGAACCAUUACCAACAACUAAAACGAAGCCAGAGAAGAAAGUAAUAUACCUCCUGCCCAUCAGGCCCAACUUCUUUGAUCUCACGUGUGAGUGAACCCAACACAGAAUCGGGAUCUUGAAGGCCUGAAAAAAAAAACAAAACUAAGUAACAAAUAUCUACAUGAAUACAACAAAGGCUCAACUCAAAAGCAUGACCAUGUUUCCGGUACCCAAUGUUCACAUACAACUCCUGCAAUAGCAAAAACUCAAAUCAUUGUACAUAAAUGUAGCUACUUUACGCUAUAUACAUUUAUUUUCAUAAUCAAUAUCACUAAAGAUUCAAUUUUUAUCUACUCAAACUCAAAGUAAGCUACAUUGGUAGUGAGCUUCAGAGAGUAAACACCAAACACGAGCUUAAUCCCAUGAAGCAGAUUUUACUGUUCCAGAAGCAUCUGAUUGAAAUGCCAUGUACCUGAAGAUCAUCACCACAAACAUUCCAAAAGAUACAAAUUAGAAACCGAGACUGAAGCAUGAAGUGCACAGGAUGAAUCAAAUGAUGUAUACAAAAAUGCUCAUGCCAGUUGAGCUACUGUGGGUUUGGGCUUGACUCCGGUUACAGUAAAAGCCCAAUCAUAACGUCUUCAGGCCCAAUAGUUCUGCUACACCGUUUUGACGAUUAUAAACGUCUAACGGAUUCAACGUCUCUGCAAUUCUGUUACAGACGACGAGAACUGAGAAGAGAGAAUCGAAGAGAAAGAGUUUCACCUGGGUGAUUGAUCGGAGACUGAAGUGGAAGAAGCUCCGGUGGUGUAUGGUUCGCGGAGGAUAGCAGAGGAGAAACGUCCUUGAUUCCGCCAUGGAAACUCACGAGCAGCGGAAGACGAAGAAACCGUCUUGAGAAGCAUUUUUGACCGUUGAGAUGCUUUCGCCAGAAAAGUGGACAAGGAUGAUGAAGAAGAAGACCGAUGGAGGGGGUGAUGAUGAUGAGGCUGUGGAUCGUUGACACGUGUAUGGACACGAUUGAUACAUAGGUUAAUGCGCGUGGAGAGCUUGUGGUUAUUUUAUCAUCGAUAUUCCCGUGAACAGAGAUGAAUAUCAUGGCCCUAUUUGUUUUUUUUUUUUUUGUAUUUAAUAUUGAUGCAUAUUUUUUCUUCUUUUAUGUGAAUUAAGUACUUUCACAUGUUUCAUUAACUAAUUGACCUAAUAUGUUUUCCAUAACUAUUUAUAAACAAUAUUAAUCACUUUAACUUUUAAUAUUAGAGCUGAAAUUUGGAAAAUCACUUUGCAUAUAAUAAUAUAGAUAUGAUGGGUAUUUAAAAAUUAAAUAACCAAUGUAUGAUAUAGUAGUAACAUAUAAAUCAAUUUUGAAAGAGGUGGCAUGCAUGUUUUCAUAUAUACACUAGAUUAAAAAUUUAGAGGAAAUUCUAACUUUACCUUGAUAUUACUUUUCAAAUUUACAUUUAAACGAUAAUCAUUUUAAUAAAUACCUUAUGUUUAUUAUGAAAAUAAAACAAAAUUAACUCUCCUGAAUCAUUUAUAAAUGUUUUAAAAUUUUUUUAUAAAAAUUUAUAAACUCAACCACACCCUCUAAAUAAUAAUUUCUAAACAAUACUCACUAAACUUUAAAACCCAAAUAUUAUAAUAUUUUUCGAUAAAUUGUAUUUUUUUAUUAAUUUAUCCAACUUAAGGUAUUUCAAGAAAUUUCUCAAAACUUUAUUCGUCUUACGAUAAAAUAUAAUUGUGUACUUCCAUUGGGAUUUAACUAGUUUCGUGUUGGAUAUUAACCGGUACUUUUAAAUUUAAACCUUCACUAACUAAAAUAUAAAAUAUUUUUAUUAGAAAAAACAUAAAAAAAGUUAUUUUCUCAGUGAGAUUCCAACAUGGUAAAAAUUAAAAAAAAUUAUUAUUUUUUCUUUGAAAUUUAUAUGAAAUAAGUACUAAUUAUAAUAUAAUAUUUGUUAAUUUACGCUACCGAAGAAAAAAAAAGUUAAAAGAUGAACGACAUAUUAAUAUUUGUUAUUUAUAUUUAUAUUUGGUAACAUAAUACAAUUUAUUAUGCCACAAACACUAACAACAAUUAAUAAUAUUAUUAUUUUUCCUGUGAUAAAGACGUGUAUUAUUAUAAAUAUUAUUUGAGUUCCAAUGUAGAUAAAAAAAAUCAAAAUAAACACUCAUUCUUUCUAUGCCUUUGAUAAUGCAUGCAUGCGCACAUCUCAUCUUGCGGACCCACACAACGACCAAUCCCAAGCCUUCCCCUUUCUUUGGUACAUUCAGCUGAACAAAUGGUCAAAUCACAUUUUCCAUUUUUCGGUCUGUAUAUGUGUCGACAAGGAAAUCUGUGUCCUUGAGCUUGAGCAGUCGUCAUUACUCCUGUUAUUAUAAUAGUUAAAACAAAACUUUAGUUUUCGUAUUUAAAUAGAAAUUAAUGUUUUUGGUAAAACAUAUGCUUAGAGAGUUUUUUGCAUAUUUAUAAGGAAAAAAAACUUAAAGUAUGAACAUCUUCUUUCUUAAUCAUUGAUUAUUCUGGAAAAAUUUUCUAAACCCAAAAUUAUAGAAUUCGAUAAAAAAAUUAUAUCAGUACAUAAAAUAAUAUGAUAUCAGAAUAACAUUAAUUUUAAAUAAUUUUUGAAUAUAAUAAUAAAAUUGUAAAUAUAAAUACCAACCGAACAGAAGAACUGUGACCAUAAAGAAACCAAUAAUCGAAGGUUGAAAAGAAUUUUUCAUCUUAGAUAAUGAACUAGAGGUGUUUUAAAAUUACAAAGAAAUAGAAGUAUAUUUAUAAAUGAAUAAAAAAUUGAAACAUAUCUAAUUUAAGCUAUGUACCUUCUAAAAUUCUGUUAUAAAAGAAAUCUAAUUUGACCAAAACUCUUUUUCAAAAAUUUAGAUUUUUUUUAUAGAUAAAAAAGUUGAAUUAGUCAUUUUUAAUAUAUUUAAAAUAUUUCUCGAUAUAUACAUAAAAACAACCAAUCGUCAAAGCUCUGUGAGGCGCAAUAUACAAAGUGUGAAGAUGAUGUGGAAGGCACGGUCAUGGUUCAUCAAAGAAUACAAUAACAGGCUGUUCAACUGGCUGGUUGCGCUCUCUCUAGUAAUGGUAGUGGUCGGACGGUUCAUUAUAAAGUUCAUUUUGUUAAAAAUGGCGGCGCAUGGAUACUCUUUAUAUACUGGAUACAUACACAAGGAUGUUCUGGACAGUAGAAUCUAUUUUCUACAACCUAGUCUGUAACACUCCUGAUCCGGACUAAAUAAAAGUUAAUUAGUUUGCCAUGCACCAAUCAAACAAGAAUAUGCACGACGAACUAAAGAACUCUAACCAGAUCGAAGAUACUACUACCACGUGCCCGAACUUUUGAUCUGAGGUUCCCAGAUCAGAUCCGAAAUCCUAAGAUCAUAUGUCCAAGAACGGGUUUCCUAGCGAUUCCAAGUUAAGGCUUUGCAACCCGAGUUUUAAACCGUUAGUUAGUUCGUCCCGGACUAGGACUAGUAUCAUAUGGAAUCCAAGCAUUUUACAAACCCCUCCCCCCCUUUUUUUAUUCAUAUAUACUUUAAGUUCAACCACAUCGAAAAUUUAUACAUGCUCGGCGGAUGUUCAAAACCAUAUCUUACAUAUUACAAAACGUACAUGUUUGCAAAAGGUAGCAAAUCUACACCAACAGCUUUGUGCUCCUCCGAUCCCAAAUGGAACCUACUACUACGGGUUACCUGCAAAACAAAGAGUCUAAUGAGCAACUAUUUUGCUCAGUGAGUCGGGUUUCUUAACAAUUAUUUAUCCCCCCAUUAUGCAUCAAACAUUAAGCAACAAGGAUCAAUUAUAUUAAGAAAUAUGCAAUGCAAAAAUAAAGCAAUCAUGUAAACAAGCAUCCACUCUUCACGAGUGGUUAGAUCAUUAUCGAUCAUCGAGGACUGCCUCUCGCCAUUGGUUCCUAUCUCGAUACGAAGUCCAUAACACAUCCCUUCUUGCGCCCAUUGACCCUAAACACAAAGUCUAAAAAGCCGAUGACCCGGAUAACACACUUGCCGCAUCGUCAUGCAGCUACACGGUCGAGGGUAGCUAACCCUAUCACACGUGUCUUCGCGUCCUGCCCGGAACUAAUUUUGGUAAGGCCCCGGACAAGGCACGGGCCUCGAGUGGAUACCAAUGACUCUCACAACACUCAACCACAAAAGGUAUCGCCUUUUGUAUCUUCUUCUUCUUCUCCGUAGCUACUAGCUCCUUCAUUGAUGAUAUAUCAUCUAAUGAUUAGUUAUCUCUGUGGUGCCAAGCCAUCAACUUUUUAAUGUCUUAAUGGAUUGUUGUAAUAAAAGCUGCUAACGGAGAUUCUUGUCUGAAUUUUCUGUGAUUGGGUUUUUAUCAAACAGGGAUGCUUAUGGAUUUUCUGUGAGAACAUGUCAAAAUCUACCAGGUUCUUGUAUCUCCACAGUCUUUUUAAUUUUUCUACUCUAGAUACCUUCUUACUUACUUACUUCAUACAUUAGGCUUCUUUCCUUGUCUUAAAUUUUGGUGAUCCCAUAUUAUAAGUUGUGAAAGAUAUCAGAAAACUUAAAUUUAAGGGCUCACACACUAUGUAGUACUAGUUUUUGGUUUUUUCUUCUUUUUUUACCUCGGACAUUUCCAGGUCAUCCUGCCCUAGAUGAUGAUGGCAGCAACGCUCUGAGGAGAUUGCUAACUGCUUAUGCUAGGCAUAAUCCCUCUGUUGGAUACUGUCAGGUAUGUAUAUUCUAAGUUUGGUGACAUGCUUACAAAAUGAUCAUCUACCUGUAAUUUAUUGUCUUGUAUUAAAAAAAAAAAAGAAAACCUGGUUGGUUGCUAAUGCUCUUUGUUAUAUACUAAAAUUUGCAGUUCAACAUCUAGAUUAUCGUGGAG